AAACACUGGCAGAAACCGUAGGCAUACAUUUCCAAAAUAAAUUGGAAGAUACUGGGGCUGGAUCUGAACUGGGGGAUUGACUUGCUCUGCCAAGCCCUCAAAAUACAACUUUUCAGGAUAUUUCUUGUGAUAACUCAUAUGCUUAGUAUGCCAGUCAUUCUGCAGCCAAUGCUCUGGAGAAUUCUCCUUCACAAAAUCACUCACUCUGUUUCUGAAAUCAUUAGGCUUGAGUAAGAGUAAUUGAAUAAUGAAGUAACAGACUUGAGCUUCAUUUCCUUCAUGACUACGCAUAGCCAAACAAAGUAUCAACCUGUCCAGUGUUACAAUGUUGUAUUUCCACACCAUAUCAUUGAGAAUCUCAAUACACUUAUUGAGCUGCUGACCUCCUGCAGAGGUAGAGAAUUCAUACACCAAGAAAUCCGCAAAUGUCCUGACGUGUGCCACAAGAGCUCUGGCCCC
Molecule: long non-coding RNA, 459 nt
Filed under: Gallus gallus (chicken)
Lineage: Eukaryota; Metazoa; Chordata; Aves; Galliformes; Phasianidae
Source: RNAcentral